CGAUAUGGAGCAUAUGUAGGCUUAUCCUUUCCUUGAAUUACCGUUGAUAUUUGAGAUGCUAAUCUUCCUAGGACCUGGCCUUUUGCAUCAAAUACUCUCCAUCGCAAACCUUCCAGAUUGAUACGUCUGAGGCCAGCAAGUGCUUUCUUCAUGUUGCCAUUGAAAGAGGCAGCUGCUUGGGUUGCCAUGUCUCCUCUGCACAGUGAGUCUUCUUGUUUCUCACCCAAAUAUCAUUCACCUUAAGGAGCAGUAAGGUUUGCAAGUUUGCAGACAGG
Molecule: unclassified non-coding RNA, 275 nt
Filed under: Hevea brasiliensis (rubber tree)
Lineage: Eukaryota; Viridiplantae; Streptophyta; Magnoliopsida; Malpighiales; Euphorbiaceae
Source: RNAcentral